RNAcentral lists this ribosomal RNA (374 nucleotides) under uncultured organism. Its description in RNAcentral is "partial 16S ribosomal RNA". It matches the Rfam family "Bacterial small subunit ribosomal RNA", at positions 525 to 896 of the family's 1533-position model. The record is from RNAcentral.
GUAGGGGGGGCAAGCGUUGUCCGGAAUUAUUGGGCGUAAAGCGCGCGCAGGGCGGUCCUUUAAGUCUGAUGUGAAAGCCCACGGCUCAACCGUGGAGGGUCAUUGGAAACUGGGGGACUUGAGUACAGAAGAGGAAAGCGGAAUUCCAAGUGUAGCGGUGAAAUGCGUAGAGAUUUGGAGGAACACCAGUGGCGAAGGCGGCUUUCUGGUCUGUAACUGACGCUGAGGCGCGAAAGCGUGGGGAGCAAACAGGAUUAGAUACCCUGGUAGUCCACGCCGUAAACGAUGAGUGCUAAGUGUUAGGGGGUUUCCGCCCCUUAGUGCUGCAGCUAACGCAUUAAGCACUCCGCCUGGGGAGUACGGCCGCAGGGCUG